AUUGAACGCUGGCGGCAGGCUUAACACAUGCAAGUCGAGCGGGGAAAGGUAGCUUGCUACCUGACCUAGCGGCGGACGGGUGAGUAAUGCUUAGGAAUCUGCCUAUUAGUGGGGGACAACAUUCCGAAAGGAAUGCUAAUACCGCAUACGCCCUACGGGGGAAAGCAGGGGAUCUUCGGACCUUGCGCUAAUAGAUGAGCCUAAGUCAGAUUAGCUAGUUGGUGGGGUAAAGGCCUACCAAGGCGACGAUCUGUAGCGGGUCUGAGAGGAUGAUCCGCCACACUGGGACUGAGACACGGCCCAGACUCCUACGGGAGGCAGCAGUGGGGAAUAUUGGACAAUGGGCGAAAGCCUGAUCCAGCCAUGCCGCGUGUGUGAAGAAGGCCUUUUGGUUGUAAAGCACUUUAAGCGAGGAGGAGGCUACCGAGAUUAAUACUCUUGGAUAGUGGACGUUACUCGCAGAAUAAGCACCGGCUAAC
RNAcentral lists this ribosomal RNA (479 nucleotides) under uncultured bacterium. Its description in RNAcentral is "bacterial SSU rRNA". It matches the Rfam family "Bacterial small subunit ribosomal RNA", at positions 30 to 501 of the family's 1533-position model. The record is from RNAcentral.